GACGAACGCUGGCGGCAUGCCUUACACAUGCAAGUCGAACGGUAACAGGUCUUCGGAUGCUGACGAGUGGCGAACGGGUGAGUAAUACAUCGGAACGUGCCUAGUAGUGGGGGAUAACUACUCGAAAGAGUGGCUAAUACCGCAUGAGAUCUACGGAUGAAAGCAGGGGAUCGCAAGACCUUGUGCUACUAGAGCGGCCGAUGGCAGAUUAGGUAGUUGGUGGGAUAAAAGCUUACCAAGCCGACGAUCUGUAGCUGGUCUGAGAGGACGAUCAGCCACACUGGGACUGAGACACGGCCCAGACUCCUACGGGAGGCAGCAGUGGGGAAUUUUGGACAAUGGGCGCAAGCCUGAUCCAGCAAUGCCGCGUGCAGGAUGAAGGCCUUCGGGUUGUAAACUGCUUUUGUACGGAACGAAAAGCCCUGGGUUAAUACCCUGGGGUCAUGACGGUACCGUAAGAAUAAGCACCGGCUAACUACGUGCCAGCAGCCGCGGUAA
This 498-nucleotide ribosomal RNA is filed under the name uncultured bacterium. Its description in RNAcentral is "partial 16S ribosomal RNA". It matches the Rfam family "Bacterial small subunit ribosomal RNA", at positions 28 to 523 of the family's 1533-position model. The record is from RNAcentral.